CGAUCCUGAAAUUUUGCAUAUAACCCCCUCACCAGAGCUUGCUAUCCUCCCUGUUCUCUUCUUCCAUGUCAUAACCCACCUCUGCCCGAGCUCCUCCUCCCUCUACCUCAGAAGCAUCAAGCAUGCCGUGGCCGCCCGUUCGAACUGUGGGAGCCGCACGAGCUCGCUAGUGCUCCUUGGAGGGGCGCAUCUCGCUGCCGGCUCGUGAAUCGCCCUCGGUGCCAAGUCCUCUCGAGCUCCUUCCCUCCCUCCCGUGCGCGUCAUGUGGGAGUGGGCAGUGGAGAAGCCAAGCAGUGGGUGGUGCGCGUGCUGCUCUAAUUGGUGAAGGGUUUGGAUUCGGAGGAGCACGCGCUGGUGCCGGUGGAUUGAAGGCUGCUGGAGCUGGUUGUAUUGGAGGAAAUUCGUAGGGAGAGAAGUGGCGUGUGGGAGAUAAGCUCCUGACUGUUGUUUUUGCCGAUUUGGACAAGGUAGGAGCUUGGAUUAAUUGGAGUUGCUUCUAGCUGGUCUGCUUUAGGGGAGAGAUUGAGAGGGACUGGAGAGAGGCGAGUUGUUGCCUGCUGGAGAGGUACCCCGGACGGCACCUCGGCCGGCCCGGUCCUCGCCCGCCGGGGGCAGCGCCUCCACCACCUCCGGUGGCGACGCGGCGGCGAGACGACGCGCGAUGUUGAUGGAAGCCGUGAAGCAGGUGCCGGCGUGCCGCUGACGACGCAGCAGCGGGAACAUGUGGAGCGGUCAAUGGCCUGACCAUCUUCGAGACCGUCGCGUUACAGCGAUGAUCAAAUAAAGAAGACUGCGUGGAUUUCGACCAAUUGUGCUUGGCUUCAAGCUACAGGAGAUACUGGUAUUGUCUUGAGGACAUUGCAAUUGGACAGAAAUAUACUGGCAAAUCAACUUCUUGCUGCCUUCCAGAAUGAAGUUUGAAUACAUGGAGCGUAUGCAUUUGCUAUUGUUCUGGAGCUGCAAGCUUAGAUCCAUCAACAAUUCGUCCAUUUUUCUCGCUUCUUAGUUAGAUGUGCCCAAGUGCUUGUGUGUUAAAAGGUAGCACUGUACUGUUAGUCUGUUACCGUUUCCUGUUAACAAAUUGCUCCCUGGAAUGAGCUUUUUAACA
Long non-coding RNA from Panicum hallii, 1108 nucleotides. RefSeq lists it as uncharacterized. Lineage: Eukaryota; Viridiplantae; Streptophyta; Magnoliopsida; Poales; Poaceae. The record is from RefSeq and is a predicted model, not a curated record. The transcript has 2 exons.